Molecule: ribosomal RNA, 229 nt
Filed under: uncultured bacterium
Lineage: Bacteria
Description: partial 16S ribosomal RNA
Rfam family: Bacterial small subunit ribosomal RNA
Source: RNAcentral
CACGCAGGCGGUCUUGCCAGUCAGAUGUGAAAGCCCGGGGCUCAACUCCGGAAGAGCAUUUGAAACUACAGGACUUGAGUACGGUAGAGGAGAGGGGAAUUCCUGGUGUAGAGGUGAAAUUCGUAGAUAUCAGGAGGAACACCGGUGGCGAAGGCGCCUCUCUGGGCCGAUACUGACGCUGAGGUGCGAAGGCGUGGGUAGCGAACAGGAUUAGAUACCCUGGUAGUCC